AGGUAAAAUUCCAUUCCUUCCAAAAAAACUUGAAAUGAGCAAAGCAGCGGCAAACUAGGGCCAGGACUGGACAUCAUGCUGCUGUGUUCUCAGCCCAUCCACACACGGGUUUCAGAGUCCUUCCACAUGACAAAAGUUGAUGGGCAUGACAUGGUCGUUGUGUAAAGAAUUCAACGUCAUGAGAUCACUUCUCCUUCUCAUGGACAUUUGCUAGCACAUAUCAUCAGCCACACUGACCUCAUCCCUCUUUAAAAAGUGUCCAGAUUUUCAUUCUGGUAGCUACCCUUCCCCCAU
Long non-coding RNA from Bubalus bubalis (water buffalo), 294 nucleotides. RefSeq lists it as uncharacterized. The transcript has 2 exons. NCBI's taxonomy places the organism in Eukaryota, Metazoa, Chordata, Mammalia, Artiodactyla, Bovidae. The record is from RefSeq and is a predicted model, not a curated record.